CAAAGUAAAGCUAAACUAGUGUAGCGUCUCAGUUACAUUGAGAAGAAUUGUCGUGCAAGUCGACUUGUUUUGA
Molecule: transfer RNA, 73 nt
Filed under: Macrophthalmus pacificus
Lineage: Eukaryota; Metazoa; Arthropoda; Malacostraca; Decapoda; Macrophthalmidae
Description: tRNA-Val
Source: RNAcentral